Long non-coding RNA from Pieris napi, 8191 nucleotides. RefSeq lists it as uncharacterized. The record is from RefSeq and is a predicted model, not a curated record. The transcript has 3 exons. NCBI's taxonomy places the organism in Eukaryota, Metazoa, Arthropoda, Insecta, Lepidoptera, Pieridae.
GCACCCUAGUAAAUAUAUAAUAUUCUCUUAAUUAUAAAUAAACAUAAAAAAUUGGUUUUAAACAAAUAGUCGAUGAGCGCACCAAUCCUACAGCGGGAUCUCGUACUAUCAGGCUUUCACACAAGCGAACAUUCAGGCAGGUUUCAGCAAAACUGGUAUUUAUCCUUUUAAACGUAAUUUAUUCCAGGAUAUUGACUUUUCGCCAUCUUUUGUAACGGACAGACCAAACCCUGACACCAUUCCUACAACACCAUCUAGUAAUACUAACGCACAAACCCCUGAUUCUUUAGAUAACAAUCCUGAACUCAACAAUAAAGUUCUGCCACCUUCUGAUUCUUUACUAGGGCAAUCUUCGACUCCAAUCAUAAAUGAAAUUCAGCCAGCAUCUACUUCAACCACGUCACCUUUGCUUAUGCCUGAAAUUGACUGUGUACAAGAGACUGAUUUAAGAACAGCCACUCCGCCUGUUUUUUCACCUGAAGUUGUUCGCCCUUUUUCGAAAGCUGUUUGCCUCUUGUUUUUCUUUGAGCACAAAGAAAAACAAGAGGCACUAGGACAAAAAAGUCAACAAUUUACACAGACACUCCCGAGAAAGAGGCAGUUAAAAAAAAACACGAAAAAAAGAAAAACGUUUGAAGGCUAAGCAAGUAAAGAGAAACUUAGGUGAAGUAAAGCAAAAUAAGAUAGGGAAAGGAAAAGGCAAAGAAAAAGUCAGUGCCAACAGAAGAAAGACUUCAGAAUCGUCAUCCGAUGAAGAAGAAUAUUUCUGUCUGGUUUGUGUUAGCGCAUAUUCUGAAAGUAGGGUUGGCGAAAAAUGGAUCAAGUGCCAAGGCACAUGUGGACUCUGGGCCCACGUAGAGUGCGCUGGUGAUAAUCACUAUUACAUUUGUCACAACUGUGAUGAUAAGUCUGACUAGAUGUCAGUUUGUUCAUAUAUUCAUAAAUGUUUAUUUUUUUAAUAGGAAAUCUAUUAGUUACAUUUUAGUAAAAAAAAAGUUGUAUUAUGUUACAUAUUUCUAACAAUAAAAGUAAUUAUAAACCAUUUCUGCGUAUGUUUAUAUUUGUCACUACUGACCCCAACCACUGUCUCAACCGUCCUUGGGCUGUGGUCGGUUGUGACACUUUCUCUUUUUUUUUAAAGUAGGUGCUAUAAUUAAUACAGCGUAUUAAGGUAUAACAUUUUGGUAUUUUUACGUAGACAAAAGUACAAAUUAAGAUUUAAAUUACUUUUCUUGCAGCUAAAUAGUAAAUUAACUAAAUUAUUGGGACUCAAAUCAAAAUUGUCACAACCGUACCCAGUCUACCCUACCGUGUGGGUAGUGCAAACGUGUAUUGGUGUGUCUCGUGAUUUUUUUUCUUAAAUUAAAUAGUAUUUCGGUUUAAACAUUAUAACUUACAGUUUCAGUGAUGAACUAGUGUCCCACCACACAUCAAUCGCUAUUUUUUUCUCAAUAAUAUCCUUUAUUUAACUAUAAUAAACUUAAAGUUGGAAAUCACUUCUUCAAGUACCUUCAAUUUAACUUGUAUUAAUUUUUCACUUUCACCUUAUUAUGGAGGAUCUUAAAUAGUCAUUAAGGGAUGUAUCCGAAAUGGUGUCUACCAGAAUGGAAGAGUUUCAGCAGCGCCUUAUUGCAACUCAGAAUAUGUCCCCCUCACUAGAACAAACUCCACUUGCUAGGGAAUUCGAAGCAUUAAAAAAUUCUGUUUUAUUCUGCCUAGAGAAUCUCCAAGCUCAGAUGGCGAUUCUAUUUAGAGUGCAGGAUGAACAGGAGAUGCGCAGUAGGCGAAAGUGUCUGUUGCUGCAUGGAGUAAAUGAAGCAAAGGAUGAAAUCCAGGGCUCCAUUGCAAAUAUGAUAUCCAUACUCUUAAAGUGUCCUAAUGUGACGGAGCAGUGCCUCUCCCGUUGCCAUCGAGUGGGAUUAAGAUCCAAUGACAUGCCUAGGCCUAUAUUAAUAAAGUUUCGUGAGCAUGCUGACAAGUUAAGGAUCUGGGCUGCCAAAACUAAUCUUAAAGGCACUGAAAUAACCUUGUCUGAGAUCCUGACAAAAUUAAGGUACUCGCUAUUUAAGGAGGCAAGAAAGCGGUUUGGCGUCUCGAAUUGUUGGACUCGCGAUGGACGUGUACAAGUGAUAGUUGCUGAUGGGAAACUUCGCCGCAUCUCUUCGCUGAAGUAACUCGAUUCAGUUCCGGACAGCAUACCGUCAUCGACCGCAGCUGAUGAUGCAAAGCUGACAAGAGACAAGACCCGUAAUAAGAAGGCUCCAAAAAAGGGUCAAUAACUUCCGUUUGUACAGUGUUGGUGUUUCGUGUGUUGAAAUGAUGUGUUGAAACGCGACACACGUCCUGCGUGGGCCACUUCACGCUUGUUUUCAGUGGGAGAGUGGUAUUACCCCGAUCGUGUCGGCUCAUUCGGCUGCUUAUGCAGCAUGCCACUCCCACUACUUGGACUAACUGACUGCGCUGGUGGAAAUAGUUAUUGUUCAAAUAUCCCACCAGAGGGCGAUGGGGUCGUCACUGCCCUACGCCUUAAAAAUAUCCCUUAGUCACCUUUUACGACACCCACGGAUAGAGAUGGGGAGGUGCUAUUCUAUAAGCCGGCACAACACGGCAACUUAUAGCAUUUUAUAACCUUGACAUUUCACGUAUGAUUAGUGGAUAUUAAUGUUCUUAGUAGACUGAUUCUUCUGAUGAAUCCGCUGUCAUCAAAUAAUUUCCGUAGUUUCUGCCACAAAUCCUUGACUUUAGUUUCAAUUUUUAUAUGAACAUACAACUUGGGAUCAAUCGUCAUAAUGAGUUUUGCUUCGCUUUUCUGUCUUCUGCAUCACUUAAAUCCUCAGGAAUCGCGUCGAUGUCUAUACCUUACAAGAUGAGAAAAUUUCUUGCCGCGACCGCCCAGUCAUCAAUGUUCUCGCGUCCCUUCAACUUCGGCACAUUUAUUAAAUAACCGCCUGACGACGACAUUAUAACUUAUUUUCUGACACACUAUAUGAAUUUACUGUAAGAUUAUUUAAUUAGUUUUUCACUGUCAAAUGAUGGAGGGGCUUUUGGUUGCUCCUCCCUGAGCCUGUGCUACGUCCUCCGCUGGCGGCAUCGGCCCGUGGUCCGAGAGCCCCCGAGUGUUUUGUGGACGGGGGCCCAGAAUUUCACAGGGCCCCAGGGCUCAAGCACCCGUGAGGGUUCGUUGGGGGGUCGGGGCACGGUGGCUCCGAAUGUGGUGGGGACCCAGGGCCCCGAAGAUUUUGAGGGGAGCAGAGUCCCGGAGGCCCCAGGUCUUUCGGGGCCCCGGGGCUCUGGGGGUCCUAGUGACGGAUGCUGGGCGACCGUCAGCAAAAAGAAGAAGGGAAAGGGUAAGAAGAGUGGUUCACCCGCUGUGCCGGUCCUUCCCCCUGUGAGUGGGGGAAGUGGCCGUGUGGGCCGGACAGAGGACAAUGGAGUGGGUCACGGCGCAGGGCCCUCGGCUGGGCGAGUGGCUGUCGAAAAGAGGUCUGUCAGGGUGCAGCCUUUGCUUACUCCGCCGAAAACUGCCGCAGUGGUCAUCACAUUGCGGAGAGAGGCGGGGGGUCAUCUAUGCGGAUGUGCUGAUCAAGGCCAGGAAUGGUAUAAGCCUGCCUGAGCUUGGUAUUGCCACUAUCAGCAUCCGGCUAACGUCGGGAGCUCGGAUGCUGGAGGUGCCGGGGGUUGACAGGGAGGAGAAGGCUGAUGCCCUGGCAGAUAGGCUUCGUGUGGUGCUGUCAGGGGAGGUCUUGGUGGGGAGGCCCGUCAAAUGUGCGGACCUCCUUAUUCGGGACCUUGACGACAGCGUCACUGAGAGGAAUGUCACAGAGGCGGUGGCUGCCAUGGGUGGGUGCCUGGCCGCAGCGAUCAAGCCGGGUACGAUUUUGAGGCGUGGGAUACGGGGCUUGGGGGAGAUGUUCCUCCUGUGUCCGGUCGCCGCCGCCGAGAAAGUGAGCAAAGGGAAGCUCCUCAUUGGGUAGAGCUCCUGUAGGGUUGAAAUCCGAGAGGACCGCCCUUUGAGGUGCUACAAGUGCCAGAAGUUGGGUCACGUGCGAGCCACCUGUGACUCAACGAUGGACUUCGCGGAGGCGUGCUUUCGGUGUGGGGUUGAUGGCCACAAGGCCUAUGAAUGCAGCUCGAAAGAGCUGCAUUGCGCAUUUUCGCUUGCAUCUGCUCAACGGCUGGAAAGCCAGCAGGCCAUAAGAUGGCGGGAAGGGCCUGCAACCCUCCGAAAGUGACGAAGGGCCCAGGUGCCCCAAGGACUGGGACAACUGUGGGGAACACUCCCAUGGAGGUUGGUGUGGUACAACCAUCAUAGCUAUACCAGCCUCCUAGGGGGGACCAUGAGACGCCGUGCCGCGCCUCAGGGGUUGUGACUGCACACCCUGGCCGAAUGUGCCACUUGGUUGAGGCAACACUGUCUCGACCUGGUGUCGGUCGUUUGGACGGACCUCUCGCUGCCGAGUAAUGUUGCAGCAAUAUUAGGUAGCCAGGAGACAUGGCGAUCGGUGGCUUUCUUUUGCGAGCGCAUUUUGCCGCAAGGGAGGGCUGCCGAGCGUCAGCGGGAGGUGCGUUGAAACGAUCGGAGGGGUUGUGCUUGGCGAACCCCUCCGAAAGGGUGGGUAGGCGCAGGGUGGGCCCAAUAUACGCAUAGUUGCGUGGGUCCAACUGCGUCCCACUGCCUCGUCGCCAGGCCCUUAUGCGGACAUACCCGCCUGAGCUUUCUGGGUUGAAUGCCUAGUGCGACCCCCGGGGAGCUCAAUGCGGUGCCGGACGGCAUCCAUUCAGAAUUGGUGUGUAGUCUGGUACCGCAGGCGGUAUGGAGGGUUCAGGAGGUGGGUCGGCCACGAAUCAGUGCCGCUCCGCUUCUAAAAAUCACAAAAAUCGUACUUUUUACGCGAAACAAACAAAUAUAUCAUCAGAUGCGUCUCGCAACAAAAAAAAAAUUGAAAAUCAGUGCUAAAAAAAGUGAAAAAACACCAAAAACGGAAGAAACUUAGUGAAAAAGUGCUGCAUCUUUUAAGACUACUUUUAAAUUUUUAUCGCCAAGAAGUCGCAAGAUAUUGGGAAAAUAAACAAACACCACGUGGCACGUGGUCCCAGUUUGGAGUACAACCUGGACAUACCAAUAUCACCACCUGAAGCGCCGAAAAAAAGUUGAAUAAGAAGGAGGGCUUAGAUUUGUGUUUCAUCAGCGGGAAAAAAUAUUACAGGUGUAAAACCGUCUAUAAACAAGGUUAAACACCUUUAAACAAGAAUAAAAAGAAAACAAGAUAGAGGGCCCCACUUUUUCUCUACAUCAUUGGAAGCGCCGCGCGGAGAUCUAUUUAAAGGUACCAAUCUCAGAUUUCCUUAAAAACUGAAGCUCCUGGAAACUAUUUUCUCUUGACCACGUGGCACGUGGUCGGAGAAUCCGCCAGUAUUUUGCGCCGCGGAUAGGCUCACGGGAUAAAUAUCUAGUCUUUUUGACCAAUAUUGGCGGCUCCAGGAGCCUGGGAAGAAAAAGGGAAAAAGUGCGGGAUAACUCGGGAACGGUUAACAACCCCACGUGUGCCCCACCCCAAUACUCAAAAGUUUUUUCCCUUCCUCAUCCAUCCAAAAUUCAAAUUAUAGGGGCUACCGACCAAAUCCCAUCCUGAAAAUUUGUCUAUCGGAAGGUCUUUCCCUCCCACCGUGAUAAAAUUCCCCCCUCCCCCCUCGAGUUGAGUAAUAAACGACUUGGCUCGAAGAGGUGAAUCCACCUGACCAAAAACAGCCCCCUUACCCCACCGCAAAUAAAUAAAGUACCUACCUGACGGGUUUAACACUAGGAUAAAUCUUCUUAAUUAUAAUAAUAGCACAUUCUCUUAGCUACCUUUUAGCUAUUGGUAGGAGAAUUUCUAAUACUACUAGUAUUUUUACAGCUGAAGGAAGCUGUUGCUAUUUUAAAUGCUAUGAAAUAUAUUAAAAAUUGUUAUUCGGAACAUAAAUAUUGGAUCAUAGUAAGUGAUAGUAUGCGUGUUUUAAAAAACUUGGCUAAUAAUAAUUAUAUAAUUUAUCAGAUAAAAGAACUGAGGGGUACAAAAGCAAAGCCGCCACUGUCUAUAUUUGUUCAAAACUAAAGUACAAAUGCCAUCUUGUAGAUUUUUUGUAAACUAUUGUUACAGUUGCUUUAUAGUAUUAACAGACGAUCGAACUUGGUACGGGCCCGACAGCGGAUUCCGUACGCUCCAUACCAUAUCCGUUCGUCUGGAGAGUUGUCUGCCGAACAUUAUUAUUAUUAUUUCGUGUUCGCUCGGUCCGAUGGUUUGCACAUCGAAUUUGGUCCGCUCCGUACCAAAUCCGCGAGUCUGUACGCUCGGACCGGACAAACGCACGGCAGUCACGUUUGAAACAUUCUGGAGGUAGCACGUGCGUCAGCGCAUGUUCGCACUAUGGCGGAGAUUUUAACAGAACGCGAAGUCCUUGUCGAUGUUUUGGCACUGUGUAAAGAUUUUCCGUGCUUGUGGGAUACAAUCACACGAAUUGUAUUGCAACAGAGAUGCUCGUAAUCAAGCUCUACAGAUUCUUCGGGAUUGUCAUUCAAGGUUUGAUAGAAGUAUCACUGUAAAUGAUGUGAAAAAGAAAAUAGAGAAUAUGAGAGCCGCGUACAGACGAGAGAGGAAAAAGGUAGAGAAGAGUAAAUCUAGUGGUGCCGGGACAGAAGACAUUUACACACCAUCCUUGUGGUAUUAUCAAUAUUUUAGGUUUUUACACGAAAAACAGAAUCCAGCGGUACAAGGAGUAGACAAUACCACCACCUGUUAAACAAUGUUUAAAAUGUACUCUGCAAAAAUGCCCCCGAGUCAGCCUCGCUGUAAUCAUGAUGCCGAAAACAAACAAUUUAAGUGUUGCAAAUUAACGAUGUUGGAUAUACAUAAAUUCCAUGAAGAAUUUUAUAGGUCAAAGAAUAAAAAGGACCAGGAUGCAUUUUUAUUAAAACACUGCCGUGUGUCAAAGGUCAAGAGACGCCGGCCAAGAGUUGGACAACUGCUUUGGGCGGUAUCUGCAUAAGGUGCCUAGAAGGGAGAUGCAUCCGUUGUGCCACCAUUGCGGCGCUCCAAAUGACACGGCGGAGCAUACUGUGGCUGAGUGUGUCACCUGGACAAGGGAGCGUCAUGACCUGGUAUCGGUCAUAGGGUCGGACCUCUCUUUACCGGGUAAUAUUUUAGCUAUGCUAGGAAGUGAGGAGGCCUGGAGUGCAAUAGUCACCUUCUGUGAGCAUGUAAUGCUGCAGAAGGAGGCAGCUGAGCGAUUGAGGGAGAGGUCUGGGGAUGACCGUAGACUGAUCGGUAGUUCAAGGCUGGGGGCUCGACCUCGAGUGGCCUGGAACCGCUGGCCUUGAAAGUGAAUAAUGUUGUUAUAUUACGAUUAUAUUUUUCAAUUUCAUUAUUUUUUCCUUGCUUUAAGGUACACCUUAAAAAUACAUUUUGUAUCCAUUGUAAGUGUAAACAUUAUGCGGGUAUAUCAUAAACUCUUUUGCUUGAUUUAUAAUUUGAUACAUUUACGUCUAUAGUUAUUUUGGGCUGGCGAUCUGAGUGAGUUGUUGCCCCACAUAUUUUUAUGGUGCCACUGGCGGUAUUGUUUUGUACCGGGUUGUGCAGCUCCCUCAAAAAUGGUUGAGCUGCAUGAGCUAUUCGGGGCAUGCUUGCCGUCUGCUGGCACAGGCUUGCUCAGAUCGAUCUGGUUCUUUCUUCCAAAGACCAGUCCAGUAAAUACUCUGCAUUUGUUUACACCAAUUUAUUAAUUUAUUAUUGUAUUAUCUGGACUAUAAAAGAGACUAAGACCCCCGAGUUUGUUUCGACAUUUCUUCUCAGGGCAGUCAGUUAGGAAAUGUCGACUUCAUCUAGUUUAGGAAGACAUUGUAAAAGUGAUUUAUAUAGUCCUACUUGCAAGAAUAAACUAUUUCAUUUCAUUUCAUUACUAAAAAAACAUUGUGGCGAGAAUUGGAAGUCUAGGGAUGAUUUAGAUUUUUACAAACAGGUGAUCUUACGAGCAGAAAAUGAGAGCAAUGAAACUGAAGAGGGUGAAGAAGUCUGUGAAGUUGCAGUGCCGGAAUCUGACUUACGAAUUUAACUACAAUAACUUAGUAAAACGUGAUUUAUCGGACUUACGCAUAAAUAUAAACAUAAUUUGUUACAUUGCACUUUUUGUUAAUUAUAGUGACUUUUUACUCUUA